CCUACGGGUGGCAGCAGUGGGGAAUAUUGGGCAAUGGGCGCAAGCCUGACCCAGCAAAGCCGCGUGAAGGAAGAAGGCUUUAGGGUUGUAAACUUUUUUUAUCAGGGACGAAGCAAGUGACGGUACCUGAUGAAUAAGCCACGGCUAACUACGUGCCAGCAGCCGCGGUAAUACGUAGGUGGCAAGCGUUAUCCGGAUUUACUGGGUGUAAAGGGUGUGUAGGCGGGAGUGCAAGUCUGAAGGUAAAGCCCCGGGCACAACCUGGGAACCGCUUUGGAAACUGUUAAACUAGAGUGCUGGAGAGGCAGGCGGAAUUCGUAGUGUAGCGGUGAAAUGCGUAGAUAUUAGGAAGAACUCCAGUGGCGAAGGCGGCCUGCUGGACAGUAACUGACGUUGAGGCUCGAAAGCGUGGGGAGCGAACAGGAUUAGAUACCCCUGUAGUC
RNAcentral lists this ribosomal RNA (443 nucleotides) under uncultured bacterium. Its description in RNAcentral is "partial 16S ribosomal RNA". It matches the Rfam family "Bacterial small subunit ribosomal RNA", at positions 338 to 795 of the family's 1533-position model. The record is from RNAcentral.